GUGUGGUGAUGCGGGCCGUCGGAUCAGACGCUGAUCUGGUGGCGGGCGGGUGAGUCGGUUUGUGUACGUUGCAUCGGGACCCUUUUUUGGAGGAUUUUUUUUUCGGGAAAGAUGAAGGGUGAAUUGCAGAUGAGGUGGGUGAGUGUGUCACGUGCAAACAUGUUGAGGAAGAGGAGUGGGUUAAUAAUUCAUUUGUCCCUCACUCCCGUCGGGGUCACCUUAGGCCAUGACGGGAACGGGACAGUGGACAAGUAUCCACUCGAGCAAUAAUAUUUUUACACCCAAAAUUAGGUAUAUUUUAGAUUGUCUAAAUUUUUGAAUGAAUUAAAUGUACUUUCGGGUAACGCACAAAAGAGCAAUUUUCUGUCAACAUGGGUCGACUUUCGAAGUAGCAGUAAUUUCUUUCUUCCCCCGCACUGUUCAAAUACUUGUCAUUAACUCUCCACACUGCCACUGCUAAUAAAGAGAAGAGAGGAAAACAAUAAAAGCAGCUUUAACAAUUUGGGGAAAAAACAGCAGGGAAAAGGCUUUGCUCUAUUGAAUAUAAACUAUACACUGGUUAUCACUUAUCAAAACUUAAGUUUAUGAACAUGAACAUAUUGAUUGUGACAAAGACAAAUGCAUAUAGUAACAGUAAUCUCUAAGCAUACUAUCUAUCGUAUAUUGAGCAAAUAAUAAUAAUAAUAAAAAAAAAGAAAUAAAUUGUUCUUUUCAAUAUGGGUUUCUAGAAAUCUUUCUUUUCACUGUAGAAAUGUGAGGUUCAUUUAUUUAUUUUUUUUUUAAAAAAAAAAACAUGUAUCAGAUGUACCAAGUGCUUGACUUUGACUAUCCUUUGUAAAAAAAAAAUAAACAUAAAAAAAAAGCGAGAGUCAAUAGAAAAGUAAACAUAAAAAAGAGUGAGAGUCAAUACAAAAUCGUAGCUCACCUUUUCUGCCGAAAUCACAGAGGCAGCCCAUGAUCCAUAUGCAGCAACGCCCAGAGAAAAAAACAGAAAAAAAAGAAAAAAAAAAGCAGAAGAAUUAGGAGCUCCCUUCAGUCCAAAGCAAGCAAAAGCAAGAAGUGCGGCAAGCAAAAAGAUGGCUUGGCUUCUGCUUUAGGCUGGAAGGAGCCCCUGCUUCUGCUGCUUUGAAACGGUUUAACUCCAUCAGCCAGAUCCAUUAAGAGGAGAGCAGAAGCAGCAGCAGCAGCAGCAGCAGCAGCAGCAGCUGCUUGUGGGAGGGAAGAUGCAUAUCAAUUAAACAAGGAUUAGAGAAGAAGUGAAAGCAUCGGCAUAGCAUACCAUACCAAUUCUCUUGUGUUUAAAGGGCUGCCCAUCCCUUUCAUACUUCCUUUUCUGCAUCUUUUCCUAGCUUACCCGUGUCUAGCUAGCUAUAUGGUAAAGCUCUUACAAAAAUUGUGCAUUACAUUGUAUCAUACGUUUUAAGGCUCUUCGAGUCUUGACCAGUUGUUGCACAUGGCACCAACAUAUAUACUUAAACUUUUGAUUUUUCAACUAAUGAUCAAAUGGUAUGGUUAACUUAAA
Long non-coding RNA from Ananas comosus (pineapple), 1522 nucleotides. RefSeq lists it as uncharacterized. The record is from RefSeq and is a predicted model, not a curated record. Lineage: Eukaryota; Viridiplantae; Streptophyta; Magnoliopsida; Poales; Bromeliaceae. The transcript is spliced from 2 exons.